RNAcentral lists this unclassified non-coding RNA (381 nucleotides) under Hevea brasiliensis (rubber tree). Lineage: Eukaryota; Viridiplantae; Streptophyta; Magnoliopsida; Malpighiales; Euphorbiaceae. The record is from RNAcentral.
GAAAAUGGUAUGCUUUUCAGCAGACAACUCACUUCAUGAGAACAUUUCGUUAUCAGAUAUUUCAUAUGGCUGCAGGUGCCUGACUCAUGAACUAAAAGGAUACGAGCAAUCAUUAAUUGGGUCACAGGCGAUUAAACACUCGAGAUAAAUCUUCACUUUUGAUAGAAAAUUUUCUGUUGAUGUAUUGAAGAAAUCAAUAUAAAACAACUAAACAGCAAACAGUACUGCCCUUUCCUUUUAAGAAAUAGAAAAAAUAGCUAGUAUAGGAUAAAAAAGAGUAACGUGAUACAAUGAAUAGAAAAGAAAAAGUGGGAGAGAUGCAAUAGAUAAAGCAAAUUUGAACCCAUCUUCUCAUACAAUUUACUAGCAAAAGCAACCUCU